Molecule: ribosomal RNA, 1781 nt
Filed under: Blautia sp. AF25-12LB
Lineage: Bacteria; Bacillati; Bacillota; Clostridia; Lachnospirales; Lachnospiraceae
Description: bacterial LSU rRNA
Rfam family: Bacterial large subunit ribosomal RNA
Source: RNAcentral
CCCCCCAAGGCUAAAUACUCCUUAGUGACCGAUAGCGCAUAGUACUGUGAAGGAAAGGUGAAAAGGACCCCGGGAGGGGAGUGAAAGAGAACCUGAAACCCUGUGUUUACAAGCUGUGGGAGCACCUUAUGAGUGCGACCGCGUACUUUUUGUAGAACGGUCCGGCGAGUUACGCUGGCUGGCGAGGUUAAACGGUAGAGCCGUGGAGCCGAAGGGAAACCAAGUCUUAAGAGGGCGGAUGAGUCAGUCAGAGUAGACCCGAAACCGGGUGAUCUAUCCAUGUCCAGGUUGAAGUUGCCGUAAAAGGCAAUGGAGGACCGAACCCACAUCCGUUGAAAAGGGUGGGGAUGAGGUGUGGAUAGGGGAGAAAUUCCAAUCGAACCCGGAGAUAGCUGGUUCUCCUCGAAAUAGCUUUAGGGCUAGCCUCGAUAGAGUCUUGCGGAGGUAGAGCACUGAAUUUCCUAGGGGGCGUCAAAGCUUACCGAAGAAUAUCAAACUCCGAAUGCCGUGUAGAUGCUUAUCGGGAGUCAGACUAUACGAGAUAAGUUGGAUAGUCAAAAGGGAAAGAGCCCAGACCUCCAGCUAAGGUCCCAAAGUACGUGUUAAGUGGAAAAGGAUGUGGGAUUUCGAAGACAACCAGGAUGUUGGCUCAGAAGCAGCCAUACAUUCAAAGAGUGCGUAAUAGCUCACUGGUCGAGAGGUCCUGCGCCGAAAAUGUCCGGGGCUGAAACACGACACCGAAGCUGAGGAAUGUCUGAAGACAUUGGUAGAGGAGCAUUGGAUACGCAACGAAGCAGUACCGGAAGGAGCUGUGGAGUGUAUCGAAGAGAGAAUGCCGGAAUGAGUAGCGAGAGAGAGGUGGGAAUCCUCUCGGCCGAAUAUCUAAGGUUUCCAGGGUAAAGCUGAUCUGCCUGGGUAAGUCGGGGCCUAAGGCGAGGACGAGAGUCGUAGCCGAUGGACAACAGGUUGAGAUUCCUGUACUGCAGUAAGACAGAACUGUGGGGACACGUGUGGAGAGCAUAGGCGCGGAAUGGAAAGCCGCGUGCAAGCGAGGUAGGAGUCCUGUAGGAAAAACCGCAGGGCAAUCCGAAGGCGUGAUGCGGACCGAAAUCUAGUAGGGAAGUAUGUGAGCCAUGCGUCAAGAAAAGCCGCUAUUGUUCUUAUUGUACCCGUACCGUAAACCGACACAGGUGGAUGAGGAGAGAAUCCUAAGGCCGACGGAAGAAGCAUUGUUAAGGAACUCGGCAAAAUGACCCCGUAACUUCGGGAGAAGGGGUGCCACAGAAAUGUGGCCGCAGAGAAUAGGCUCAAGCAACUGUUUAGCAAAAACACAGGUCUAUGCAAAACCGAAAGGUGAGGUAUAUGCUGACGCCUGCCCGGUGCUGGAAGGUUAAGAGGAGAGGUUAGCGCAAGCGAAGCUUUGAAUUGAAGCCCCAGUAAACGGCGGCCGUAACUAUAACGGUCCUAAGGUAGCGAAAUUCCUUGUCGGGUAAGUUCCGACCCGCACGAAAGGCGUAAUGAUUUGAGCGCUGUCUCGACAAUGCAUCCGGUGAAAUUGAAGUACCAGUGAAGAUGCUGGUUACCUGCGCCAGGACGGAAAGACCCCAUGGAGCUUUACUCCAGCUUGAUACUGGGAUUCGGUAUUGCAUGUACAGGAUAGGUGGGAGGCUGAGAAUCGGUAACGCCAGUUGCCGAGGAGCCAUUGUUGGGAUACCACCCUUGCAGUACUGGGUUUCUAACCAGCAGCCGUGACCCGGCUGGGGGACAAUGUCAGGUGGGGA